Molecule: long non-coding RNA, 921 nt
Organism: Seriola dumerili (greater amberjack)
Lineage: Eukaryota; Metazoa; Chordata; Actinopteri; Carangiformes; Carangidae
Exons: 4
Source: RefSeq, a predicted model, not a curated record
CAGAUGGGAAGUUAUUCACACGGAAUUCCCCUGUUUGGAAAAGCCUUUCAGCCAACAUACAGCAUAUCAGCCAGUCGCUCGGCUGGGAAGGCAGAGGGACGGAUGCGCGUGUAGUCAGCUCCCGUAUUGGAGUCUGCAAUAAUUAAACACAUCCAUCAAAACAUGACAAUGGUGCCAGGAAGCAUUGCAUCGUGGGACUCAGAAUGAGACCAGGGUAACCGUGACAACAGCAAUCAAACACAGAUUAUGUUUCAGAGCAGGAUUCCUCUUGUUUCCUGGAUGUUUCUGUAUGCAGAACUGUGGCGCUGGGUACAAAAAACAAAACCCACUGUAUGGGUUUUGUUUUCCGGCUUCUGAGUAAACCCUGAAGACACUGAAAAUCCCAGGAGAUCAGAAGUUUCACAAAUACUCAAACCAGCUUGCGAUUAAGGUUUACUGGAUUAUACUAAGAAAUCAGAAUCUCUAAACCCAGGGCUACUGUUUAUGAUGGCAGAAACUGUUACCAGGACAAAGUGUUUGUAUCCACUGUAAGAGUAAAUGCUACAGUAACAUGUCUUUCCUUCUCUUUUUCUUUUUUGGCUUAGCUGUGAUAAGACAAUAAUGAAACAGUGACUUGGAAGUAUUCUUGUUAUAAUUAGAAACCUCAAGCCGAAUGUUGUUGUCAACUAUUCAUAAACAAAUUUGGGUCAACCACAUACACAGCUGUUUCUUUCAAAAAUGUGUUAAACUUCUAUUGUUAUUAAAUGAAAAUAUAACACAAAUAAUACAGAUAAAAACAUAUUUAUACCUUAAUUGUCAAUUAUGUAAUGUAUAUUUAAUUCUUGCAACUGAGCAAAAAAGGUGAACAUACUAGUGCUUUAUGUUCUUCCCUUCCUUGUUUAUUUAUUUAUUUACUUAUUGUGUCUUCUCCAUCCAUUUCCA